RNAcentral lists this ribosomal RNA (253 nucleotides) under uncultured bacterium. RNAcentral's name for it is "partial 16S ribosomal RNA". It matches the Rfam family "Bacterial small subunit ribosomal RNA", at positions 524 to 776 of the family's 1533-position model. The record is from RNAcentral.
UACGAAGGGUGCAAACGUUGCUCGGAAUUAUUGGGCGUAAAGCGCACGUAGGCGGCAUUGCAAGUCGGAUGUGAAAUCCCUCGGCUUAACCAAGGAAGUGCAUCCGAAACUGCUAUGCUUGAGUACUUAAGAGGAUCGCGGAAUUCCCGGUGUAGAGGUGAAAUUCGUAGAUAUUCGCAAGAACACCAGUGGCGAAGGCGGCUCACUGGCUCGGUACUGACGCUGAGGUGCGAAAGCGUGGGGAGCAAACAGG